UACGUAUGGUGCAAGCGUUAUCCGGAUUUACUGGGUGUAAAGGGAGCGUAGGCGGCGCGUUAAGUCUGAUGUGAAGACCCGAGGCUCAACCACGGGAGUGCAUUGGAAACUGGCGAGCUGGAGUGCCGGAGAGGUAAGCGGAAUUCCUAGUGUAGCGGUGAAAUGCGUAGAUAUUAGGAGGAACACCAGUGGCGAAGGCGGCUUACUGGACGGCAACUGAGGCUGAGGCUCGAAAGCGUGGGGAGCAAACAGG
RNAcentral lists this ribosomal RNA (253 nucleotides) under uncultured bacterium. RNAcentral's name for it is "partial 16S ribosomal RNA". It matches the Rfam family "Bacterial small subunit ribosomal RNA", at positions 524 to 776 of the family's 1533-position model. The record is from RNAcentral.